UCAGAGGCUGAGAAAAUCAAAACCGUAAUCAGCACAACUAAACCUUUUACACGUGCAGCCACUGGUCUUGAGUUGUGUCAGCGGGUACAGGCCAAUCAGCAAAGCGCUACAGGGCCGUGCAGAGAAACUAUCAGGAAAUGGCAGCUCCGCUCUAGCGGUCUUCCUGCAACACUUUAUACAGCAAGUUUUUGCAUGUUUGGCAGUUUUUUUUUCUGAUCGCUAGUUUUCUACUGGUUUUUCGCUCAGCGUGCGAUUUAUCUGAGUCUUAUUUCGGAGUGGCUCUUUUUUUUUUUUUUUUUGGAGGCAGAAGGUGUGGAUUGAGUUGAGGAGUAUUCCAGCAUAGAGUGGGCACGGUCCUUGGCAGAGAAGAAAAAUGCUCCUGAACCUCCUCACACUUCUUCUGAUGCCUUCUCCCACAACACCCACAUGGAGAUUUCCGCUGCAAAAUUGACGGCUCUAUCUACCCCCCCAGAGAAGUCAGAGGAGAGGGGUCACUCGUGUGUCCAUCAUUUGAGCCAGUAGGAGAGCAAGUGCUCCUUCACCUGGGGCUCAGGCACUAUUUUUAAUAAAACAUUAUAUUUUAUAAGUAUGUUUCAGACUUUUGUGUGUGUGUGUGUGAAAUUACACAUUGUGUAACAGAGUUCGUGCUACUGCCAUUUGUUUUCAUUUUGUGCCAUUUGGAGAGGUUAUUUUUGUGCCUUUAAAAAAAAAAGUUUGCUAUUUCUAGAAGUCUGCAAUUUUUAAAGGCUUUGUGCCUUUUAGAGAGGUUUUAUGUCAUUUAGAGACGUUUGCUGACAUUUGGAGAGGUUUUUAACCUGCAUUUGGAUAACCUUACACACAAUUUCAGUGGUUAGAGAUAACUUCCUCAUAUUUUGGGUGUUCAUGGACAAGGACUUGGGGCAUCUUUGAGACCAGGAGUGGGGUUGACCUCAACAUUUGCUGUGAAGAUAUAACACACACA
Ictalurus punctatus (channel catfish) is the source of this 961-nucleotide long non-coding RNA. RefSeq lists it as uncharacterized. Lineage: Eukaryota; Metazoa; Chordata; Actinopteri; Siluriformes; Ictaluridae. The record is from RefSeq and is a predicted model, not a curated record. The transcript has 2 exons.